This 405-nucleotide long non-coding RNA is filed under the name Struthio camelus australis. Its description in RNAcentral is "lncRNA (ENSSCUG00000017085.1)". Lineage: Eukaryota; Metazoa; Chordata; Aves; Struthioniformes; Struthionidae. The record is from RNAcentral.
GCUCUGUUGCUGUCGCUGCUAAGUUAAGGAGAAGCCACCUGUUCAAAAGAAAAGGUGGGAGAAGCAAAUGAUCGCAAAACAAUAGAGCCUAUCAUAUUGGAAUGAAAAAGGGAUUCAUUUCUGUAUCAUAUACCCAAGCAGUUAUGCUCAGAGAUCAAGGAUCGAAUUGAAAACUCAGCUCCAGUAGCCUGUCCAGACAAGAGAUUUAACCUUGGUGGUUCUUACAAUUUUGACAGCUGCGAUGGGACAGUUUGCAUUUCCCACGUUCUGACUCGAGGCCUAAAGUGAGGGCUGAGUAAAGCAUUGCAGUAAUGCAAAGUGAGAAGAAACUCCUAUUGUAAAGAACUUCCUAAAGUUUCUCUUCAUGUGCUCUGGAGAAUUUUCCAGAUGUUAAUAGGAAAACCA